This 2223-nucleotide long non-coding RNA is filed under the name Homo sapiens (human). RNAcentral describes it as "HSALNT0150360". The record is from RNAcentral. Lineage: Eukaryota; Metazoa; Chordata; Mammalia; Primates; Hominidae.
GUUUGAGGAAGAAGCUCACCCAGGAAGAAAAGACGAAAGUCCAUGCAAGGAUGAGGAGCCACUGGAUUAAGGCAAUAGCAUAUCAAGUUAUGUCAAGCUGAACACAUUCAAACUUGUACAAGCAAGAUCCUAGACAAGGACGCUGGUAGAGGAAACAUAUUGGGGCAAGUUUAAGAGACAAACAGUCCCACAGAAACACAGAUGCAAGCAAAGGAAGAUGCUGGCUGCAUUAUAUGCUGUAUGUCCAGGUCAGAGGCUGUAAAACUUGAAGAAAGGAGCCAAGAUCGCCAGAAAUACAGUGGUGGUAUUAUAGCAAACAUGAGAUCCUAAGUCCUUUUUCAAAGCGUGCCUGCUCCCUGCAAGAGGAGGAACAGUGGCCAACCCACUCAAUCAGCUGUUGCCAUGUGGGACCUGUGCGAGGCCACCUUGGUAGGAGAAAGUAAGAAGAUAUGACCAGUUAUCUCCUCCAUCAGACAAAGGCACUAUUGAUUGUUCAGGAAAUUAAGUGGCCCCCUUUGCACCACAGUGCAAAAAAUGUACUCUUCUUUGGUGAAUCUUUAUUAUGUUGAUUGUUAAAGUGAUAUCUGUACAUAUUAAAUGUGUUAUGGCCUUAAGUGUUACAAUCCUUGCUCUGUGUAUAUUUACAUUUAUAUGUGUAUCAAUAUUCUCAAGCAGGAACACAGCACUGCCCUUCCAGCUCCCUCCCCCAGCUAGAGGACAUCUGGCAAUUUGACAUUUUGGUUGUCACAAUCUAGGGGACAGGGCUACUACUAGCAUCUACAGGGUAGAGCCAGUGGUACUGCUAAAUAUCUUAUAAUCCAUAGUACUGCUCCUGCAAUGAAGAAUUAUCUGGCUUAUGAUGUCAAUAAAAAUAAUAAUUUUCAUCAGAAAAGAGUUGUAUCAUUUUCAAAACACUUUCACAUGCAUUAUUUUAUUGAUGCUCAUAAAGUCAUUGUGAGGUAAUAAGCUUUCUAAUUUAUGGAUGAGGAAAUUGAGGUUUAAAAGGGAAAAGUGACUUUACCAAUGUCAUAUUACUAGAAAAGUGAAGGUGUUAGAGCACGAAAAUUAAUCUUCAGCCCUCUCUUACUUUCCAUACUUUUUCCUGGCAAUGUCCUGUGGGCAAAGAUAAAUGUGCCAGUCUCCUUCACUUCAAGCCCAGCAUGGUACUUUCCACUUGCUAGAGCUUCAAAAAUGUGUUUGUUGAUUGACUAAUUAUAAAUGACAUCAAGGACAGUCAACUGUAUUAUUCCCCCCUAGUUUUUAAAUAAGAAAUGUCAACUGAUAUGGUUUGACUCUGUCCCCACUCAGAUCUCAUCUUGAGUUGUAGCUCCCACAAUUCCCACAUGUGGCUGGUGAUAGCUGGUGGGAGGUAAUUGAAUCAUGGGGGCAGGCCUUUCCCAUGCUGCUCUCGUGAUAGCGAAUAAGUCCAUGAGCUCUGAUGGUUUUAUCAAGGGGAAACCCCUUUCACUUGGCUCCUACUCUCUCUUGUCUGCCACCACGUAAGACAUGCCUUUGCUUCCCCUUUGCCUUCAGCCAUGAUUGUGAGGCCUGCCCAGCCAUGUGAAACUGUGAGUCAAUUUAACCUCUUCCAUUUAGAAAUUACGCAGUCUCAGGUAAGUCUUUAGUAGCAAUGUGAGAACAGACUAAUAUAACAACUCAGAUCCCUAGGAAAGAUUUCUGUGUAAUUCAACAUACAUUUCCUGUUUUACAUGAAUAGAUGGCUGUAGCAUGUCUGGUUGUUUUUUUUUUUGUUUGUUUGUUGUUUUGUUUUUUUUUUUUUUAAUUUUGCUCUGGUGUAAAUCUUAGAGUAGUUCAAAAUGUAAAACCCCAAAACUUUUAGCUAGCAACAGGAUGUAGCCAUUCCGUGGCUUCCUUUUAACUGAAUAUGCACAGGCAGAGGAGCCAAGAGAAGGAACCAGCUUUUCUGAGUGACAGCAUAUUUCAAAGACAGGUAAAGGACAAACUGGAACAGAACUGGGGGUAAUACAUUGAAAACAAAACAAAACACAACAAGAAACAGUAACACGCAUGGAUCUCUGCCCAGAUUCCCACCCAAAAACUAAUUUAUUAAGCUGAUAUAAUAACACUGUGCAACAAUAGCCAGGCUAGCUUAGCUUUAUAUUUAGCUCAAGAAGCAAUUAAAGACAAAAAGAAAAAGAACACUCAUACUGUACAUGAUGAACAAAUCACAAGAUGUUCAACACAUUUGUUUAGCAGACAGUA